Molecule: ribosomal RNA, 254 nt
Filed under: uncultured bacterium
Lineage: Bacteria
Description: partial 16S ribosomal RNA
Rfam family: Bacterial small subunit ribosomal RNA
Source: RNAcentral
UACGUAGGGUGCGAGCGUUAAUCGGAAUUACUGGGCGUAAAGCGUGCGUAGUCGGUUAUCUAAGUCGGGUGUGAAAUCCCCGGGCUCAACCUGGGAAUUGCAUUCGAUACUGGAUAGCUAGAGUUCGGCAGAGGGAAGCGGAAUUUCGGGUGUAGCGGUGAAAUGCGUAGAUAUCCGAAGGAACAUCAGUGGCGAAAGCGGCUUCCUGGACCAGAACUGACGAUCAGGCACGAAAGCGUGGGGGAGCAAACAGG